This 253-nucleotide ribosomal RNA is filed under the name uncultured bacterium. RNAcentral describes it as "partial 16S ribosomal RNA". It matches the Rfam family "Bacterial small subunit ribosomal RNA", at positions 524 to 776 of the family's 1533-position model. The record is from RNAcentral.
UACGUAGGGUGCAAGCGUUGUCCGGAAUUAUUGGGCGUAAAGAGCUCGUAGGCGGUCUGUCGCGUCUGCUGUGAAAAUCCAGGGCUCAACCCUGGACCUGCAGUGGGUACGGGCAGACUAGAGUGGGGUAGGGGAGAUCGGAAUUCCUGGUGUAGCGGUGAAAUGCGCAGAUAUCAGGAGGAACACCGGUGGCGAAGGCGGUUCUCUGGGCCUGUACUGACGCUGAGGAACGAAAGCGUGGGGAGCGAACAGG